Molecule: ribosomal RNA, 253 nt
Filed under: uncultured bacterium
Lineage: Bacteria
Description: partial 16S ribosomal RNA
Rfam family: Bacterial small subunit ribosomal RNA
Source: RNAcentral
UACGUAGGUGGCAAGCGUUGUCCGGAUUUAUUGGGUUUAAAGGGUGCGUAGGCGGCAUUUUAAGUCAGUGGUGAAAUACUUCAGCUUAACUGGAGAGGUGCCAUUGAUACUGGGAUGCUUGAGUGCCGGAGAGGGUGGCGGAAUUCCCCAAGUAGAGGUGAAAUUCGUAGAUAUGGGGAGGAACACCGGUGGCGAAGGCGGCCACCUGGACGGUAACUGACGCUGAGACGCGAAAGCGUGGGGAGCAAACAGG